GUCCACGCCGUAAACGAUGGGCACUAGGCGUCGGGGGGAGCGACCCUCCCGGUGCCGUCGCUAACGCAAUGAGUGCCCCGCCUGGGGAGUACGGCCGCAAGGUUGAAACUCAAAGGAAUUGACGGGGGCCCGCACAAGCGGUGGAGCAUGUGGUUUAAUUCGAUGCAACGCGAAGAACCUUACCUGGGCUUGACAUGCACGGGAAAGCUCGUGGAAACACGGGCCCUCCUCACGGACUCGUGCACAGGUGCUGCAUGGCUGUCGU
Molecule: ribosomal RNA, 265 nt
Filed under: uncultured bacterium
Lineage: Bacteria
Description: partial 16S ribosomal RNA
Rfam family: Bacterial small subunit ribosomal RNA
Source: RNAcentral